GUACUUACUUCAGCAACACAAAUGCUAAGAUUGGAACAAUACAGAGAAAAUUAGCAUGAUCUCUGCACAAGAAGGGAAAAAAAAAGAGUAUGUAACAUGAAU
Small nuclear RNA from Peromyscus eremicus (cactus mouse), 102 nucleotides. Lineage: Eukaryota; Metazoa; Chordata; Mammalia; Rodentia; Cricetidae. The record is from RefSeq and is a predicted model, not a curated record.